GACGGAGGAUGCAAGCGUUAUCCGGAAUGAUUGGGCGUAAAGCGUCCGCAGGUGGCAGUUCAAGUCUGCUGUCAAAGACCGGGGCUUAACUUCGGAAAGGCAGUGGAAACUGAACAGCUAGAGUAUGGUAGGGGCAGAGGGAAUUCCUGGUGUAGCGGUGAAAUGCGUAGAGAUCAGGAAGAACAUCGGUGGCGAAGGCGGGUCUCUGGGCCGUAACUGACGCUGAGGAGCGAAAGCAUGGGGAGCGAACAGG
RNAcentral lists this ribosomal RNA (253 nucleotides) under uncultured bacterium. RNAcentral describes it as "partial 16S ribosomal RNA". It matches the Rfam family "Bacterial small subunit ribosomal RNA", at positions 524 to 776 of the family's 1533-position model. The record is from RNAcentral.